RNAcentral lists this ribosomal RNA (491 nucleotides) under uncultured bacterium. RNAcentral describes it as "partial 16S ribosomal RNA". It matches the Rfam family "Bacterial small subunit ribosomal RNA", at positions 29 to 507 of the family's 1533-position model. The record is from RNAcentral.
GUGAACGCUGGCGGUAGGCCUAACACAUGCAAGUCGAACGGCAGCACAGUAAGAGCUUGCUCUUACGGGUGGCGAGUGGCGGACGGGUGAGGAAUACAUCGGAAUCUACUUUUUCGUGGGGGAUAACGUAGGGAAACUUACGCUAAUACCGCAUACGACCUACGGGUGAAAGCCGGGGAUCUUCGGACCUUGCGCGAUUGAAUGAGCCGAUGCCGGAUUAGCUAGUUGGCGGGGUAAAGGCCCACCAAGGCGACGAUCCGUAGCUGGUCUGAGAGGAUGAUCAGCCACACUGGAACUGAGACACGGUCCAGACUCCUACGGGAGGCAGCAGUGGGGAAUAUUGGACAAUGGGCGCAAGCCUGAUCCAGCCAUACCGCGUGGGUGAAGAAGGCCUUCGGGUUGUAAAGCCCUUUUGUUGGGAAAGAAAAGCAGCAGGUUAAUACCCCGCUGUUCUGACGGUACCCAAAGAAUAAGCACCGGCUAACUUCGUG